This 435-nucleotide ribosomal RNA is filed under the name uncultured bacterium. RNAcentral describes it as "partial 16S ribosomal RNA". It matches the Rfam family "Bacterial small subunit ribosomal RNA", at positions 30 to 507 of the family's 1533-position model. The record is from RNAcentral.
AGCGAACGCUGGCGGCAGGCUUAACACAUGCAAGUCGAGCGGGCACUCACGGGUGGCUGCGGCGGACGGGUGGGGAACGCGGGGGGACGGGCCCACAGGUUCGGAAUAACUCAGGGAAACUUGAGCUAAUAGCGGAAAUGACCUUUUGGGGGAAGGCUUGCUGCGGGAGGAUCGGCCCGCGUCUGAUUCGUUGGGUGGUGGGGUAACGGGGCCCCAAGGCGACAAGAGGUAGCUGGACUGUGAGGAUGAGCCGCCACACCGGGACUGGGACACGGCGCGGACUCCUACGGGAGGCAGCAGUGGGGAAUAUUGGACUAUGGGCGCGAGCCUGAUCCAGCCAUGCCGGUUGAGUGAUGAAGGCCUUAGAGUUGUAAAGCUCUUUUAUCCGGGACGAUAAUGACGGUACCGGAGGAAUAAGCCCCGGCUAACUUCGUG